UGCAAGGGAGCGCGUCGGGCUCCACGUGGAACCACUUCUCGCGGAGUUGGGGUCGAGACGGACCGGCAUUCCGCAGGAAGUCGGAGCGCCGGGUUUGGAGGAGGAGUUUGGGGCUGCACCGUCAGCCACGUGGCCGCCUCGCUCUUCCAGACAGUCGAGCAUGUUCAGGGUCCCAGGUGAAGAGCGAAAGCGAAUGGUGGGUUUCUGGAAACUUGAACUAAGCUCAAGGUGACGAGGGAGAGGACAUGGGGCUCUCAAUGGGGCCGGGGUCUCUCUGCCAAGAGCUUAAAAGUCGUGAGGUGAGAUGAGCAGAAAAAGGCAUUGCCUUCCCAAAGACCAAAGCUUGAAAUUUCACCCUUGCAUCAGCCACACUCUCUUCCACCUGUGUUCCUGUCAAGCUUGGGAACAACAUCUGGUUCAUUUUGUAUCUACAAUGUCUUGCCUAAUGCUUAACACAUGCUCAGAAAAUGUUGAAACAGAGUCUCUUUCCCUUCUCCUGAAUCUGGAAUGGCCCUGUGACUUGCUUUGAUCAAUAAAAUGUGGCAGAAAUGAUGGUGUGCAGCUUCUGAGGCCUGACAUUAUGAUACCUUGCAGCUUCUACCUUUAAUCUUUUGCAACACUCUUCUGAGACUUCCCAGGAUGAAAGAAAACAUGGAAGGCAAGACUAAUCCAUCAACCAGCACCAACUGACAGACUUGGGAGUGAGGCCAUCUUGGGACUCCCAGCUCAGCGAACCCUCUUGGUAAACGCAACCCUAUCAGUGAGCCCAUACCAAGCCAGCCAAUUCACAGA
Long non-coding RNA from Equus quagga, 792 nucleotides. RefSeq lists it as uncharacterized. Lineage: Eukaryota; Metazoa; Chordata; Mammalia; Perissodactyla; Equidae. The record is from RefSeq and is a predicted model, not a curated record. The transcript has 4 exons.